Molecule: unclassified non-coding RNA, 2363 nt
Filed under: Orussus abietinus
Lineage: Eukaryota; Metazoa; Arthropoda; Insecta; Hymenoptera; Orussidae
Description: nuclear factor 1 B-type, transcript variant X3
Source: RNAcentral
UAGGAUGCGUGUGCCUGGGUGCGGUGUGCCACCACCCAACCACGAGAAGAGGAAGAAGAAGGACCACCGACUGAGCGACGCUGAGAUCGAGACUCGGCCGGAGCGCGACUCCUCUUGCCGCUGCAUCUGCGACUGCGACUGCCAGGCCGGCUGUGGCGUCGACGCCGAUAGCGUCAAUCCGGACCCCAGCGAGAGCGGUUUCGAGAGCAAUUGCGGUAGCGAUCGAAGGUGGCAGCCGAGUCUUCGGGAUUGGCCGACUCUCGAGCGUCCGGGCGCCGAAGUGGCGCGGCAAGAGCGCUUCCUCUCCUGGCGAACACCCUCAGUCGGUAGGAGCCUGUAGCCCGCCGGGACACCCACUCAUGUUCAUCCCGGAUACCCUGAGGAGCUGCAUGGUGGAACCGGAUGUCUCGACUUACCUGCAGACCCCUUCCGUAGGACAGGAUGAAUUUCAUCCAUUCAUUGAGGCUCUUCUACCAUUCGUGAAGUCUUUCUCGUACACGUGGUUCAACCUACAAGCUGCAAAAAGGCGUUACUACAAGAAACACGAGAAACGGAUGAGUCUCGAGGAGGAACGUCAAUGCAAGGAGGAACUCCAGAACGAAAAGCUGGAAGUCAAGCAGAAAUGGGCUUCGCGGCUUCUGGGGAAACUACGAAAAGAUAUCACGCAAGAAUACCGAGAGGACUUCGUUCUGAGUAUAACUGGGAAAAGGCCGGCCAUGUGUGUCCUCAGUAAUCCUGAUCAGAAGGGCAAAAUGCGUCGCAUUGAUUGCCUACGUCAGGCAGACAAGGUAUGGAGAUUGGAUCUCGUAAUGGUGAUCCUCUUCAAGGCUAUUCCUUUGGAGUCGACGGAUGGGGAACGGCUGGAAAAGACGGCGGAAUGUGCCCAGCCUGGCCUGUGUGUCAAUCCCUAUCACAUCAACGUCUCCGUCCGGGAACUUGAUCUCUACCUCGCCAACUUCAUCACUAGUCACGAGGUUCUAAAUGGUAUCUGCAACUCGAGCAAGGACGAGGAGAGACGGCGUAAAGGUGCAGGGUACCACGAACUGUACAACGGCGUCGUCUGCAACGAUACGAUACUCGCGACCGGUGUCUUCAGUUCGAAGGAGCUCUGGAUGCUUUCAAAAGCGUCCAUACUGCAUGACCUCAGCGACAUGCAGCCUCAAAUAAACGCGAUCAAAAUAGAGCAUCCACCAUACUACUGCAGCAGCUACACCCCUCCAUCGGCUGCCGCGGCCACGGAUCACGCCCAACCGACGGCUAGCUUCAGUCCACCACCGGUGCAUCAGCUAAUACGAAAUGAUAAGACUGAAAAGGCUCCGACGGUUUCGGUAUCGAGUGCGCCAACUUUCUCCCCGAUUCUCAGGCCAGAAGAUAGUCAUCGUGGUAUGGACUCUCCUCACUCUCAAACGGGGUUACAUUCGCCGCAUGAGGGCCUGGCCGGAGGUUCCGGUCAGGGUCUAUCCAGCCUCGCGUAUUACCAACCCGAGCACCCUGGUUCCACGGGGGUAGUUAAGUAUCCUGAGAACGGACACGACACCCUCUCAGAUUUCGUGACGUUCGUCUGCCAGGAGGCCGAGAACACUCAGCAAUUGCCUCAGGUAGUUGUCGGAUUCGUCAAGUCCGCCAAGGUGCAGUCGCUGCCUUCAAAUUUUAGCGCAGCUCGCGGGACCGCGCACCGGUGUUCAAAAGUUCUCACAGUAUUACCCGAGCUCGAUGUUGCCUCCUCCGCCCCCAGCACCGAUGGCGAGGCCGGUGGCCAUCAUCAGAUCGACGGGGGCGAAUUCACCGCCUACAUCCUCGACCUCGCCAAACGACCCUUCGGAACUUGGGCCCAACCAGGAUCAAAUGGCUGCUGCCGCUGCUGCCGUGGGCCUCGCGUGUCAGACUUCGGUCGAUCCUUCCGGCAGGAAGAGUCCUGCGAGGAUACUUGUCACGGCGCCCCACACCAGCAGGGAGUACACGUUCGCUCACUUCCACUCGCAGCCUGGACAGCAAAUCUUCACAUACCCCACCAUCGGCUCCAUGUCGGGGGUGAUCUCUCCGACGAAUCUUUCUCUCUUUUCGUCACCGGUUUCGGUGACGAGGCCAGUAGCUACGCAGAGAUCGGUUCCGAAUGUCCCGCCCCGUUGGAAUACUGCACCCUUCAUUAAUCUCGAAGAUGACUACAACAUGAUUGCUCCAAUCAUCGCAGGGACUACGAGUGAACCGCCCUCCGCUAUGGACGAAGAACGAUAUUUCCACCCGGUUCACCCGAGCAACGUUGUCGACAAGAGCGGAAACGGAGGAAUAAUAGGGACAGAGCUUGGCGUAAACACGGAUCACGCAUCUCAUCAUCACCAUCAUCACCAACAGCACCAACAGCA